GGGGCCGCCGUCUGAGGAGGGGGGCCAAACCACCCCCAGAAAUUUUCUUGGAAAAAAUUGAAGAGGGACGUUUUUUUCCCCCUCUCUCCUUCCUCCCAGGAGAACAAGAAAGGGGGAUUAAAAAAUAUAUAUAUAUAUAUAAAAGUUUUCGACUUCUCUCUACCCCCCUCUCUGUUGCUUUAAAUAUAUUUAAAUUCUGAGGGGGGCGCUCAGAAAUAUUUCUCAGAGCUGAGGCACUAAGAUGGCCGCCUUGAAAUUAUUUUUAAAACAACCCCCCCUCCAGCACCGCCACCCCCUCCAUGAAGAAAGGGAGAGGGGGAAAAAAUCCCCUUUUAAAACAAAAUGGCUGGCUUAAUAUUUUCAUUUUUCACCCCCCCAUUCUCCUCCCUGUUACACCCCCAUCUCAAAGCCUCUACCCAGAAACCCACAAAUUUCUCCCUUUUUUCAUAACUGAUUAGUGCACAGAUUAAUAGAGAUAUUUUCCUUGUGUACUGAGUGAGUGUGUGUGUGUGUGUGUGUGUGUGUCUAUGCGCGUUGGGGGGGGCAUGAAGGAUUUCUGCAUAAAACAAAAAUGGCUGCUGUGACUAACUCCCCCCUUAUAAAAAAAUAUUUGAGGGGGGGCAUUAAUCAGUACUCAUGCUCAGUCUGACAUCAGCAUAAAUUGUUAAAGGUUAACUAGUUAGAUACUAGUCCAACUAGAUUCAAAUUUUUUUCUUUUCUUUACUAGUCUCUUCCUCCCCACCUCCUUUCUCUUAAAGAAAAGCUUUUUUUUUUUUUUCUGAAUACUUCAGAAGGGAGUGGUUUGAUGUGAAGGUUUUUUUUCCCCUUCAGGCAUUGAAAAGGAAAAAGAUGAAAUAUAUGUUUAUGUAUAACUCUGUUUCUACAUACCUCGUUGAAGUCAAAACGCGUUUAAUUGUUAUAUUUCCCUUCCUUCAUGAUCUCCAACACUGAUAAAGUGGAAGAAGCUGAGGUACCAUGAAAGAGAAAAGUAACCAGGACUGAGAAAAAGAAAGAGGUCUCAGCCUGAGAUGAUGCUUCUCCAGAAAGACUUCCCUGAUCUCCCCAGACUGGGUUUAGAUGUACUUGAGGUGGUCUAGUUCCUUCCCCUUGGAUUUGAAGCGAGGUUAUAAAAGGUGAUUCCACUUCCUCCUGGUUCUCUUGGGAUUCUUGCUCUUGGAACCCAGCCACCAUGUAUGAGGAGGCCCAAGCUGCCCUGUGUAGAGACCCACAUGGAGAAGAACCAAUAGCCAGCAUCAACUUGCCAGCCAUGUGGGUGAGCCAUUUUGAAAAUGAGUCCUCCAGCUUCCUGCAGACCACCCAGUUGACACCUGUUGGAGUGGCAAUGAGCUAUCCCUGCUGAACCCUGCCCAAAUUAGAGAUUCAUUAGCAAAAUAAAUGGUGAUUGUUGUUUUAAGCCA
Non-coding RNA from Equus caballus (horse), 1418 nucleotides. NCBI's taxonomy places the organism in Eukaryota, Metazoa, Chordata, Mammalia, Perissodactyla, Equidae. The record is from RefSeq and is a predicted model, not a curated record.